RNAcentral lists this ribosomal RNA (497 nucleotides) under uncultured bacterium. RNAcentral describes it as "partial 16S ribosomal RNA". It matches the Rfam family "Bacterial small subunit ribosomal RNA", at positions 28 to 507 of the family's 1533-position model. The record is from RNAcentral.
GAUGAACGCUGGCGGCGUGCCUAAUACAUGCAAGUCGAGCGAACGGACGAGAAGCUUGCUUCUCUGAUGUUAGCGGCGGACGGGUGAGUAACACGUGGAUAACCUACCUAUAAGACUGGGAUAACUUCGGGAAACCGGAGCUAAUACCGGAUAAUAUUUUGAACCGCAUUGUUCAAAAGUGAAAGACGGUCUUGCUUUCACUAAUAGAUGGAUCCGCGCUGCAUUAGCUAGUUGGUAAGGUAACGGCUUACCAAGGCAACGAUGGAUAGCCGACCUGAGAGGGUGAUCGGCCACACGGGAACUGAGACACGGUCCAGACUCCUACGGGAGGCAGCAGUAGGGAAUCUUACGCAAUGGGCGAAAGCCUGACGGAGCAACGCCGCGUGAGUGAUGAAGGUCUUCGGAUCGUAAAACUCUGUUAUUAGGGAAGAACAUAUGUGUAAGUAACUGUGCACAUCUUGACGGUACCUAAUCAGAAAGCCACGGCUAACUACGUG